Molecule: ribosomal RNA, 447 nt
Filed under: uncultured bacterium
Lineage: Bacteria
Description: bacterial SSU rRNA
Rfam family: Bacterial small subunit ribosomal RNA
Source: RNAcentral
GUCCAGACUCCUACGGGAGGCAGCAGUGGGGAAUAUUGCACAAUGGGGGAAACCCUGAUGCAGCGACGCCGCGUGAGCGAUGAAGUAUUUCGGUAUGUAAAGCUCUAUCAGCAGGGAAGAAGAUGACGGUACCUGACUAAGAAGCCCCGGCUAACUACGUGCCAGCAGCCGCGGUAAUACGUAGGGGGCAAGCGUUAUCCGGAUUUACUGGGUGUAAAGGGAGCGUAGACGGCGAUGCAAGCCAGAUGUGAAAGCCCGGGGCUCAACCCCGGGACUGCAUUUGGAACUGUGUGGCUGGAGUGUCGGAGAGGCAGGCGGAACUCCUAGUGUAGCGGUGAAAUGCGUAGAUAUUAGGAGGAACACCAGUGGCGAAGGCGGCCUGCUGGACGAUGACUGACGUUGAGGCUCGAAAGCGUGGGGAGCAAACAGGAUUAGAUACCCUAGUAC